AAAAUGCUAGUAAAAAAAUUACACUGCCUUGUCAAGGCAAAAUUGUGGGUUAAACUCCCGCGCAUCUUA
RNAcentral lists this transfer RNA (69 nucleotides) under Moringua javanica (Java spaghetti eel). Its description in RNAcentral is "tRNA-Asp". It matches the Rfam family "tRNA". Rfam says of the family: Transfer RNA (tRNA) molecules are approximately 80 nucleotides in length. Their secondary structure includes four short double-helical elements and three loops (D, anti-codon, and T loops). Lineage: Eukaryota; Metazoa; Chordata; Actinopteri; Anguilliformes; Moringuidae. The record is from RNAcentral.